CGGACAGGAUUUUCGCUGUACCGCGGACAGAGUCUUCCCUAUACAUUCAAGGCGUCGCAAUCAAUACAAUGUACGAAGUUCCAAUCAGGAACACAUUUCAAUCAAAGAUUGCAUAAGCAAGCAUAAAAAACAUAAUCUACUUGUUAUUACAAGCAUACAUCACAAAUAUUACACUUUACUUCAUAUUUUACAAUCUUUCAUUCUUUUAGCUUCCAAAAUACAAUGCAACUUUAACAAUAUUAUUACAACUUGAUUAUUUUCCUUUUCUUACAUCCCU
This 277-nucleotide long non-coding RNA is filed under the name Ananas comosus (pineapple). RNAcentral's name for it is "long non-coding RNA (ACOM_LNC037971)". Lineage: Eukaryota; Viridiplantae; Streptophyta; Magnoliopsida; Poales; Bromeliaceae. The record is from RNAcentral.